This is an RNA transcript of Xyrauchen texanus (razorback sucker), 2055 nucleotides long. It is a transcript of the gene named zwilch kinetochore protein, with no coding region annotated. The transcript has 20 exons. The record is from RefSeq and is a predicted model, not a curated record. NCBI's taxonomy places the organism in Eukaryota, Metazoa, Chordata, Actinopteri, Cypriniformes, Catostomidae.
GGGCUGUAAUCAAAUAUUUUUGUGUCGUGCAAGUUUCUUAUUCAAACUGUCUGUAGUUGUUUACUCUUUCGAAUUGAUAAUUGAUUUCAAACGAGGGAAUGGGAUCCAAAAUAAUUUCGGAAGCCAACGCUUUCGUUAAAUUUCUCAAGUUGUGUCAAGAUGAAAGUAAAGAAAACUCCACCUUUACGGAUGAUAUUUCAGUCCUGCUGGUGCAGAAUGAGGAACUUUUGCACAACAUAAUCAAUGGAAACCAGUCUAUCUUUAUCUGUGAGAAAGCACAACCAAAGAUUGAACCAGAAGCUGUUGAAGUUACAGAUGACACCAGUGUUGUUGAAGAAGUGCCUAUUCAAAUGCAUCAAGAUUCAAGUCCUCAGCCUCUCUCUGUCAUGAAAGCAAGACAGCUGUUGUCAUGGUACACCAUGGCUCAGAACCCUAACAUGCCUCUGGUGAAAGCCCCAGGGACUCUGCACCCUCUCUGGGUCCGAUGUGACAAGUCAGAUCCAUGUGGCACUGCCUGGCUCGGGGCAGAGACUAUCUACAAUGGGAACCAAACUACUGGAAUCAAACUGUUUACAGUGAGCUGCAAAGACCAAACAGGAGAUGAAGCCUCAUUUACCACCUUGGAUGACCUUAAACAAGAGCAUCAGAAAAGGCACCAUCCCUCUACAGUUCUGACCAAAGGCUGGGCCCAGUACAACCUGUUUUGCUCUAUGAAAGAGGAGAGCAUGGUGUUUGAGUCUCAGAGCAGUGUAAUAGCGACCCUCAAAUGGAACAACGUGGAUAAAAUCUUGGAGUAUCCUCCAUUGUCUUCAUUGGCUACUCUGAAUAUCAGAGUUGCAGUUGGAGACAUAAGGAGUCCAUUGUAUCAGACCCACCGAGAGAUGGAGUUCCUUCUGGCUUUGGCAGAAGGCUUGAGGACAGGAGAAAUUGAAUGGUUGGAUCCAAUGGAGACUCAGUCUGCUGUGGACUUAACCAGAGCUCUUGUAGAGGAGCUUGAGAACAUUGCACAUGGAGUGCCAGGACACAUGGCCAAAGUUUCUGAGAGCCAGAAGGCAAAGACAGAAGCAGCAGCUUUCAGCUCGAUGGUCAUUGAUAGAGGAGACCUGGACUUUACAGAACAACUGUGGGAGAAGAUGAGGAGGAGUGUAUCUUCUUAUCAAGACAUAACAGACUGUCUGAAAAUUGUCAUCAAAGCAGUGAGACAUGGUCGAAUCAAACCAUGGAUCCACAAAGACAGCAGUAGCUCUCUCAGUAAGCUGAUCCUGCAGUCUUACCAGCAGCAGAUGGACACAGUGCCUCUCACUGGCCUCAUUCCUGCUAAUAUGCUGCUAGAGUUGGGCCUGGACAAGAUAAGGAAAGACUUCAUCAACUACCUCGUUGGAAAGGAACUUACAACUCUCAACUAUUUGAGUUACUACUUGGACGCUGAGGUGGAGCUGCAGGAGCAGGUGAUAAGAGUGAGGAAGCUGCACCACCUGCUGGAGAUCUUGGGCACCUGCAGCACUUUCCUCAAUCUGCCUCAUGAUCGCCUCUUCCUUUUCACUCAGUCCUGUUUGCAGUACUAUAAAACAGCCAACUAUGAUGAGGGCCAUGUGUUCCAACUUCAAAUUAAACCUGCACUCAUAAGCUACUUUUAUGAGAAGGAACAGCCAUUCUCUUGGGGCGUGGAGGUGGCUAGUGGACAGGGAUCAAGGGAGGUCAAGACAUCAUUGCAUCUUAGUGACAAGCCCUUGGUAGACCACAUCAGUUUUGACUUGGAUUUACCCCUGGAUGAGUCUGUGAGUGGAGAAAAUGAGAAGAUGGCUUACUACAGAACUAUAGUGAGCUGUAGUCUCAUCAGCUUCUCUUAACACACCGCUGGAGGGGCAAACAAAGAAAAAUCCUGUUAGACGCUAUGAUUCAGUCUCCAUUUCAGACCUCCAUCAAAGUCUUUGUCAAUCCGUCCUCAUGAUGGAUCUUCUCACAUGGACCCUCCUUUCAAGAAGCAACUUCAUAAUCUGUCCUAUUAGGAAGUAUUUAACUUGCCUGUUUAAUUUUGUGAUUAUGCCACCUUUA